GAUGAACGCUGGCGGCGUGCCUAAUACAUGCAAGUCGAGCGAACAGACGAGGAGCUUGCUCCUCUGACGUUAGCGGCGGACGGGUGAGUAACACGUGGAUAACCUACCUAUAAGACUGGGAUAACUUCGGGAAACCGGAGCUAAUACCGGAUAAUAUAUUGAACCGCAUGGUUCAAUAGUGAAAGACGGUUUUGCUGUCACUUAUAGAUGGAUCCGCGCCGCAUUAGCUAGUUGGUAAGGUAACGGCUUACCAAGGCAACGAUGCGUAGCCGACCUGAGAGGGUGAUCGGCCACACUGGAACUGAGACACGGUCCAGACUCCUACGGGAGGCAGCAGUAGGGAAUCUUCCGCAAUGGGCGAAAGCUUGACGGAGCAACGCCGCGUGAGUAUGAAGGUCUUCGGAUCGUAAAACUCUGUUAUUAGGGAAAAACAAAUGUGUAAGUAACUAUGCACGUCUUGACGGUACCUAAUCAGAAAGCCACCGCUAACUACGUG
Molecule: ribosomal RNA, 496 nt
Filed under: uncultured bacterium
Lineage: Bacteria
Description: partial 16S ribosomal RNA
Rfam family: Bacterial small subunit ribosomal RNA
Source: RNAcentral